AAGUCGUAACAAGGUCUCCGUAGGUGAACCUGCGGAGGGAUCAUUAACACGUAUCCAAACGUAUCUAAACCCAAACCGUGCUCCUCUUUUUCCCAUAUCAGAAGGUGUAUAUGCAAGCCAUUAGAUAGAUUCAAGAUUGGAGCCCUCUCUCUCGGGAAAGGGUAAAGGUCUUGUCUACUUGCAGUACUAUUUGUCCCCUCGAGGACUGAACCGAUUUGAUAUGGUGUAUGAAAGCUAUCUGGUUAUCAGUGCCACCCCGGUUUCGACCCGGAGCCUGGUAGCCUUAUUACUCCCUAUUUUUAACCCCUUUCUUUUACUAAACUACUGACUUUACUUUGAUUUGGACCUCAGGUCUAAUCAAGUGUAUACGAAACGCGAACAACUCUUAGCAACGGAUAUCUUGGUUCUC
Molecule: unclassified non-coding RNA, 409 nt
Filed under: fungal sp.
Lineage: Eukaryota; Fungi
Description: partial internal transcribed spacer region
Rfam family: Eukaryotic small subunit ribosomal RNA (bases 1-46)
Source: RNAcentral